This 63-nucleotide transfer RNA is filed under the name Rattus norvegicus (Norway rat). It matches the Rfam family "tRNA". Rfam says of the family: Transfer RNA (tRNA) molecules are approximately 80 nucleotides in length. Their secondary structure includes four short double-helical elements and three loops (D, anti-codon, and T loops). Lineage: Eukaryota; Metazoa; Chordata; Mammalia; Rodentia; Muridae. The record is from Rfam by way of RNAcentral.
GGGGAUUUAGCUCAGUGGUAGAGCGCUUGCCUAGCAAGCACAAGGUACUGGGUUUAGUCCUCA